Molecule: ribosomal RNA, 294 nt
Filed under: Escherichia coli
Lineage: Bacteria; Pseudomonadati; Pseudomonadota; Gammaproteobacteria; Enterobacterales; Enterobacteriaceae
Description: partial 23S ribosomal RNA
Rfam family: Bacterial large subunit ribosomal RNA
Source: RNAcentral
GAAGGUGUACUGUGAGGUAUGCUGGAGGUAUCAGAAGUGCGAAUGCUGACAUAAGUAACGAUAAAGCGGGUGAAAAGCCCGCUCGCCGGAAGACCAAGGGUUCCUGUCCAACGUUAAUCGGGGCAGGGUGAGUCGACCCCUAAGGCGAGGCCGAAAGGCGUAGUCGAUGGGAAACAGGUUAAUAUUCCUGUACUUGGUGUUACUGCGAAGGGGGGACGGAGAAGGCUAUGUUGGCCGGGCGACGGUUGUCCCGGUUUAAGCGUGUAGGCUGGUUUUCCAGGCAAAUCCGGAAAA